ACGGAAGGCAGCAGUGGGGGAUAUUGCACAAUGGGGGAAACCCUGAUGCAGCAAUGCCGCGUGAGGGAAGACGGUCUUCGGAUUGUAAACCUAAGUAGUCAGGGAUGAAGAAAGUGACAUUACCUAAAGAGUAAGCUCCGGCUAACUACGUGCCAGCAGCCGCGGUAAUACGUAGGGAGCGAGCGUUGUCCGGAUUUACUGGGUGUAAAGGGUGCGUAGGCGGGCUUGCAAGUCAGGCGUGAAAUACCGGGGCCUAACUCCGGGGCUGCGCUUGAAACUGUAAGUCUUGAGUGAAGUAGAGGCAGGCGGAAUUCCCAGUGUAGCGGUGAAAUGCGUAGAUAUUGGGAGGAACACCAGUGGCGAAGGCGGCCUGCUGGGCUUUAACUGACGCUGAGGCACGAAAGUAUGGGGAGCAAACAGGAUUAGAUACCCUGGUA
This 437-nucleotide ribosomal RNA is filed under the name uncultured Oscillospiraceae bacterium. RNAcentral's name for it is "partial 16S ribosomal RNA". It matches the Rfam family "Bacterial small subunit ribosomal RNA", at positions 341 to 792 of the family's 1533-position model. Lineage: Bacteria; Bacillati; Bacillota; Clostridia; Eubacteriales; Oscillospiraceae. The record is from RNAcentral.